UAGUGUUCGACGAUAAAACUGCAGCUGC
RNAcentral lists this small RNA (28 nucleotides) under Bombyx mori (domestic silkworm). RNAcentral describes it as "ovarian small RNA-23093". Lineage: Eukaryota; Metazoa; Arthropoda; Insecta; Lepidoptera; Bombycidae. The record is from RNAcentral.